GACGAACGCUGGCGGCGUGCUUAACACAUGCAAGUCGAACGGAAAGGCCCUGCUUUUGUGGGGUGCUCGAGUGGCGAACGGGUGAGUAACACGUGAGUAACCUGCCCUUGACUUUGGGAUAACUUCAGGAAACUGGGGCUAAUACCGGAUAGGAGCUCCUGCUGCAUGGUGGGGGUUGGAAAGUUUCGGCGGUUGGGGAUGGACUCGCGGCUUAUCAGCUUGUUGGUGGGGUAGUGGCUUACCAAGGCUUUGACGGGUAGCCGGCCUGAGAGGGUGACCGGCCACAUUGGGACUGAGAUCCGGCCCAGACUCCUACGGGAGGCAGCAGUGGGAAAUAUUGCACAAUGGGCGGAAGCCUGAUGCAGCAACGCCGCGUGCGGGAUGACGGCCUUCGGGUUGUAAACCGCUUUCGCCUGUGACGAAGCGUGAGUGACGGUAAUGGGUAAAGAAGCACCGGCUAACUACGUG
Molecule: ribosomal RNA, 468 nt
Filed under: uncultured bacterium
Lineage: Bacteria
Description: partial 16S ribosomal RNA
Rfam family: Bacterial small subunit ribosomal RNA
Source: RNAcentral